UACGAAGGGUGCAAACGUUGCUCGGAAUUAUUGGGCGUAAAGCGCACGUAGGCGGCUUAGCAAGUUGGAUGUGAAAUCCCUCGGCUCAACCAAGGAAGUGCAUCCAAAACUGCUGAGCUUGAAUACUUAAGAGGAUCGCGGAAUUCCCGGUGUAGAGGUGAAAUUCGUAGAUAUCGGGAGGAACACCGGUGGCGAAGGCGGCGACCUGGGUAGAUACUGACGCUGAGGUGCGAAAGCGUGGGGAGCAAACAGG
This 253-nucleotide ribosomal RNA is filed under the name uncultured bacterium. RNAcentral describes it as "partial 16S ribosomal RNA". It matches the Rfam family "Bacterial small subunit ribosomal RNA", at positions 524 to 776 of the family's 1533-position model. The record is from RNAcentral.